Long non-coding RNA from Lepus europaeus (European hare), 1315 nucleotides. RefSeq lists it as uncharacterized. Lineage: Eukaryota; Metazoa; Chordata; Mammalia; Lagomorpha; Leporidae. The transcript has 2 exons. The record is from RefSeq and is a predicted model, not a curated record.
AGCCUGGUGGGGGGCCAGAGAGGCCAGUCCGCUGGGCCUCAGUGGUGAGGGGAGCUGGCACAGGGGCCUCCCUGGCCCUGUCCCGCACCCCAGGGCACCCGCGGCCUCCCCCCUGACACAGUGCGCUUCGGGCUCGAUGGCCACUCGGACGAACUCGAGGACCCUGUGGACGCUUUCACUGACCGGCCGCUGCUGUGCCCCACUCUGCUCCCAUCCAAGGCUUCCUGCAGCCCAGCAGCUCUCUGGAACUUUCUGGAACCAGCUUUUCGCAGAGUGUGCACCUCGGGGUGGAGGUGUGGCUGCCGGGCCCUGCAGGGGCUCCGUGGACGCAGCCCCCCGAAGCCUGCGUGCUCCCUGCACCUCGGGAUGUACCCAGGAGCGCUGGGAGGUGCUUGGCGGUCUCAAGGAGCUGUGGGGGGUCUGGGUGUCUCUGGGCCCCUGCUCUGGACAGGGGUUGGGGAUCCAGAGGUGGACCCGAUCCAGCCCAGCACCUGCGGGCUGGUGUCUGCGACAGCUCGCCCUGGAGCCUGGACUGGCACCGGAGCCCAAGGUGCACCGCAGUGGAGACCGAGGCACCCUCGGUGAGACACGAUUCGCCAAAGCCACACAGCGGCCCGGGGCACGCCCCCAGCCCCACCUCUGGCCCAGCACCUAGACCAGGGCUCAGUCCUCGGCCAAGUUCCCUGCGCCAGGAGCCAAGGACCUGGUGCGGUGGCAGUGUUGGCUGUGACCCUUGGGUCACCUCCUCCCCUGCUCUGAUGACCUCUCGGGGGCCCCCACUCCAGCCGUGGGUCUGGGGUCCUCAGGCCCGGCCAUGGGGCCCCUCCGUGUCUGGCUGGGAGACCCCGGUGAGGGGCUUCUUCCUCCCGCCAGACGGACGCCAAGGAUGGCAGCCGCAGGCAGUGUGGACGGCUUUGAGGAUGCCCUGGGGGUCUGUUUCCUGUACCUCGGAGCCCACCGGAGCCCUCACACGCAUUUGUCCAGAGCAAGACAAGACACACACUUUGACAUCCCUCAGUCGAGCUGCUGGCCCCAGAAAAUCUCCAGGAAAGUGGAGUCUCCAGGCUGUUCUGAAGAAUCGCGUUCUCCAUUCAUCCUCCAGCGCCUCCCAGAACCUCCUCCUCCUCCUCGGAAAUCUCUGGAAAGGACGCAGCUCUCCUCCGAUCGAGGUUGAGGGUGAAGUCCUCCGAGGUCCCUGAAAAACCCAUGCAAGACAGAGGCAAGGGAUCUCAUGGCCUGUUCUUGCUAUAAAAGGGCCUUUUUCGGAAAAAAAUAAUAAAGAAAGGAAUCAGCCAAUCCCUCCUCGAUGCCAUCA